GAUGAACGCUGGCGGCGUGCCUAAUACAUGCAAGUCGAGCGAACAGACGAGGAGCUUGCUCCUCUGACGUUAGCGGCGGACGGGUGAGUAACACGUGGAUAACCUACCUAUAAGACUGGGAUAACUUCGGGAAACCGGAGCUAAUACCGGAUAAUAUAUUGAACCGCAUGGUUCAAUAGUGAAAGACGGUUUUGCUGUCACUUAUAGAUGGAUCCGCGCCGCAUUAGCUAGUUGGUAAGGUAACGGCUUACCACGGCGACGAUGCGUAGCCGACCUGAGAGGGUGACCGGCCCCACUGGGCCUGGGACGCGGCCCAGACGCCUGCGGGCGGCAGGGGUGGGGAAUAUUGCGCAAUGGGCGCAAGGCUGAUGCAGCGCCGCCGCGUGGGGGAUGACGGCCUUCGGGUUGUAACCUCUUUCAGUAUGGCAGAAGCGACCUUGACGGUACCUGCAGAAGAAGCACCGGCUAACUACGUG
Molecule: ribosomal RNA, 476 nt
Filed under: uncultured bacterium
Lineage: Bacteria
Description: partial 16S ribosomal RNA
Rfam family: Bacterial small subunit ribosomal RNA
Source: RNAcentral